This 395-nucleotide ribosomal RNA is filed under the name uncultured bacterium. RNAcentral's name for it is "bacterial SSU rRNA". It matches the Rfam family "Bacterial small subunit ribosomal RNA", at positions 490 to 890 of the family's 1533-position model. The record is from RNAcentral.
GGACCGGCUAUCCGUGCAGCAGCCGCGGUAAUACGGAAGGUCCAGGCGUUAUCCGGAUUUAUUGGGUUUAAAGGGAGCGUAGGCGGACCGGUAAGUCAGUUGUGAAAGUUCGGGGCUCAACCCCGGAAUUGCAGUUGAUACUGUCGGUCUUGAGUGCACACAGGGGUGCUGGAAUUCAUGGUGUAGCGGUGAAAUGCUUAGAUAUCAUGAAGAACUCCGAUCGCGAAGGCAUGUGCCCGGAGUGCAACUGACGCUGAGGCUCGAAAGUGCGGGUAUCAAACAGGAUUAGAUACCCUGGUAGUCCGCACAGUAAACGAUGGAUACUCGCGGUUUGCGAUACAAUGUAAGCCGCCAAGCGAAAGCGUUAAGUAUCCCACCUGGGGAGUACGCCGGCA